AAGAUGCCAAUGUUGCUCAUUGAUUUAAAUAGAGAAUUGAAAUCAUUGGAAGGGAGAUCAGAAAAGAAGGCCUCGAAUUCAAGCUCAAAACCACUGGUUAAUUGCUAUCUCAAGGCGUCCACAACCAUAUCUAUUUUUGCUAAAGUAUUGUACCUAGUUGCACAACCAGGUUGGCUAUUCUUAAAGACUUGGCUUCCUCCUUGUUAAUGAAGAAAACUUUCAUGAAUUGAAUAACUGUUAAAAGCAAAUGUCUACAUAAGCUGAUUGCAGAUGCA
This 275-nucleotide unclassified non-coding RNA is filed under the name Hevea brasiliensis (rubber tree). The record is from RNAcentral. Lineage: Eukaryota; Viridiplantae; Streptophyta; Magnoliopsida; Malpighiales; Euphorbiaceae.